Molecule: ribosomal RNA, 120 nt
Filed under: Streptomyces parvisporogenes
Lineage: Bacteria; Bacillati; Actinomycetota; Actinomycetes; Kitasatosporales; Streptomycetaceae
Description: partial 16S rRNA
Rfam family: Bacterial small subunit ribosomal RNA
Source: RNAcentral
UCUAAUACCGGAUAUUACCUGCCGAGGCAUCUUGGCGGGUGGAAAGCUCCGGCGGUGCAGGAUGAGCCCGCGGCCUAUCAGCUUGUUGGUGGGGUGAUGGCCUACCAAGGCGACGACGGG